CCACGAGAACUCUGUGAGAUAAUCAAUAGUUAUUGUUAUAGGAAGCCGCUGCACUUUGGCCCAAGGAAAGCAGAGGCUGGAGGCUGAGGUUGGAGUCCCAGGAGCCCUGUGCCCCCACUCCAGGGCUCUUGGCCGCCAGAGCCUCGAGACUGGAGCCCUGUAAGCUUCAAAAGCAGAUACUUAAAAGAUGACAGUAUCAGUCUCCCAAAGACCUGGGCACCUUCUCCCCACUGUAAAUACCUACGACGGCCAGCUGCAAGAGGUCUCUGAGAAGCAGAGUUUGAAAACUCCUGUUUCACCCACUGAAGGAGGGGUGGGCCUCCGCCUUGGAUCCUGCGGUUGCCACGUGAGGCUGCUCAGGGGAGGUGGGGACAGCGUCCCAUCUCCAAAGACGCCACGAAACCCCCGGCUGAACUAAAAGGAAGGAAAAUCUUUAAAUGCCUCAAAGGUGGAGAGGAUAAAAUCACUUUUAGUCUUGUUCAAAGUCUUGUUCACUCCACGCAGCCAUCCAAGGGUACCAGGGCAUCUUUGCUGUGGCCAUUACAACCGAGAGGCUCAGAGAAGGGUGGUGUCUCCCUACAGAAAUGUCUUCCCAGCACUUCUUAGGGAAUGCUUACAUUUUAAUGAGUCCCGAGAAAACUUAAUCAAGAAGGUGGGAAAACUGGAACAAGUAUUAUAAUUCUCCUGCAACGACUAAAGCUUAACGAUCUGUGUAGAGACGGAAAAAAGUAAAAAGAAGAAAAAAAAAAUCUACGUAGGAGUGUCGCUUGUUCCAGGCACACAUUGGCGUCAGGCAAGAGCCGCCUUGGGGAGCGGAAGGUGAAGGCGACGCUUCCGGGAACCGGGGCCGGAACUUCCGCAGGGCGGUCAUCACGGCCCGUGUCAGCAGCGGACUGUGGGUGUGCGCGUGCUUAGGGCUUGUCUGCGCCAAGCGCCAGUCACUCCUGCAAAUAAAAUAAAUAUUGAUAGG
This 970-nucleotide long non-coding RNA is filed under the name Capra hircus (goat). RNAcentral's name for it is "lncRNA (ENSCHIG00000007663.1)". Lineage: Eukaryota; Metazoa; Chordata; Mammalia; Artiodactyla; Bovidae. The record is from RNAcentral.